GACGAACGCUGGCGGCGUGCCUAAUACAUGCAAGUCGAACGCAGUGGGGACGGGUGAGUAACACGUGGGUAACCUCCCAUCAGAGGGGAUAACACUUGGCACCAGGUGCUAAACCGAUACAGAUGGAUGGACCCGCGGGGCAUUAGCUAGUUGGUGAGGUAACGGCUCACCAAGGCCACGAUGCAUACGCGACCGGAGAGGGUGAUCGGCGACACUGGGACGGAGACACGGCCCAGACGCCUACGGGAGGCAGCAGUAGGGAAUCUUCGGCAAUGGACGAAAGUCUGACCGAGCAACGCCGCGUGAGUGAAGAAGGUUUUCGGAGCGUAAAGCUCUGUUGUUAGAGAAGCGGUAUCUAACCAGAAAGCCACGGCUAACUACGUGCCAGCAGCCGCGGUAAUAC
RNAcentral lists this ribosomal RNA (403 nucleotides) under uncultured bacterium. Its description in RNAcentral is "partial 16S ribosomal RNA". It matches the Rfam family "Bacterial small subunit ribosomal RNA", at positions 28 to 526 of the family's 1533-position model. The record is from RNAcentral.